GUUUGCACUUAUCGGGGAAGGGUGAGAACCUUCGAUUAAGGUUCGACUCGAGCGAAAGCGAGAGAACGUUGCCAACGGCAACGGCCCGUAGGGUGAGG
This 98-nucleotide small RNA is filed under the name Salmonella enterica. RNAcentral describes it as "partial RtT sRNA". It matches the Rfam family "RtT RNA", at positions 1 to 96 of the family's 130-position model. From Rfam's summary of the family: This family represents a bacterial cis-regulatory element known as RtT RNA. The exact function of RtT is unknown although it is thought that it may be involved in changing the cellular response in relation to amino acid starvation. Lineage: Bacteria; Pseudomonadati; Pseudomonadota; Gammaproteobacteria; Enterobacterales; Enterobacteriaceae. The record is from RNAcentral.